RNAcentral lists this long non-coding RNA (219 nucleotides) under Anas zonorhyncha (Eastern spot-billed duck). Its description in RNAcentral is "lncRNA (ENSAZOG00000019258.1)". Lineage: Eukaryota; Metazoa; Chordata; Aves; Anseriformes; Anatidae. The record is from RNAcentral.
GUUCUUAAUAAUCCUUAAAUUUUUUUUUUUUUUGUGUGUGUGUGUCUUGUGUCUUUGGACCUAGAGGAAGUUUCACUCCUUAGGAUUUACAUAAAGAAAUGAAUGGCCUUGAAGGUUGAGAGAAAGAACAGAGAGACCUGCAGGAGAAUGCACCAAGCAGAAGAAUCACAGAAUCACAGAAUUUCUAGGUUCCGUUUCUUCAAUCUACUUUGGAAAUGA